GACGAACGCUGGCGGUGUGCUUAACACAUGCAAGUGGUGCGACGAACCAGAGCUUGCUCUGGGGCAAAGCCGCGAACGGGUGAGUAACACGUGGGUAAUCUACCCCGAUGACCGGGACAACCCGAGGAAACUCGGGCUAAUACCGGAUGUGGUACGGAGACAUAAGUCUCUUUACUAAAGGUAGCUUCGGCUUCCGCAUUGGGAGGGGCCCGCGGCCCAUUAGCUAGUUGGUGGGGUCAAGGCCUACCAAGGCAACGAUGGGUAGCUGGUCUGAGAGGACGAUCGGCCACACUGGGACUGAGACACGGCCCAGACUCCUACGGGAGGCAGCAGUGGGGAAUCUUGCGCAAUGCGCGAAAGCGUGACGCAGCAACACCGCGUGAGGGAAGACGGCCUUAGGGUUGUAAACCUCUUUCAGAUGGGACGAAGGUGAUGCGGUGAAUAGCCGAUGUCAUUGACGGUACCGUCAGAAGAAGCUCCGGGCUAACUACGUGCCAGCAGCCGCGGUAAU
Molecule: ribosomal RNA, 511 nt
Filed under: uncultured bacterium
Lineage: Bacteria
Description: bacterial SSU rRNA
Rfam family: Bacterial small subunit ribosomal RNA
Source: RNAcentral